Molecule: RNase P RNA, 446 nt
Filed under: Anabaena sp. FACHB-83
Lineage: Bacteria; Bacillati; Cyanobacteriota; Cyanophyceae; Nostocales; Nostocaceae
Also listed under: 3 other names
Description: RNase P RNA component class A
Rfam family: Bacterial RNase P class A
About the family: Ribonuclease P (RNase P) is a ubiquitous endoribonuclease, found in archaea, bacteria and eukarya as well as chloroplasts and mitochondria. Its best characterised activity is the generation of mature 5'-ends of tRNAs by cleaving the 5'-leader elements of precursor-tRNAs.
Source: RNAcentral
GAGAGUAGGCGCUGGCAGUUGCAGAACUAUACAUAAUCAUAGUUUUGAGGAAAGUCCGGGCUCCCGAAAGACCAAACUUGCUGGAUAACGUCCAGUGCGAGCGAUCGUGAGGAUAGUGCCACAGAAAGAUACCGCCAUAAUUAGGGAAUAGGGAAUAGGGAGUAGGGAAUAGGGAAAAACCCCCACUCACCACUCACCACUCACUACUCCCCACUUUUGGUAAGGGUGCAAAGGUGCGGUAAGAGCGCACCAGCAACAUCGAGAGGUGUUGGCUCGGUAAACCCCGGUUGGGAGCAAGGCCAGAGGAACUACGGUUGGUCUUUUACCAGUUCCGCGUAUAAGAGCCGCUAGAGGCGUUUGGUAACAAACGUCCCAGAUAGAUAACUGCCAUCUUGUAAAAUUUUUUACAUAGAUAACAGAACCCGGCUUACUACCAACUCUCUCCU